UAGACCUUGAAUAUAUGCAAGUACUUCCCUC
This 31-nucleotide non-coding RNA is filed under the name Homo sapiens (human). Lineage: Eukaryota; Metazoa; Chordata; Mammalia; Primates; Hominidae. The record is from RNAcentral.